GACGAACGCUGGCGGCGUGCUUAACACAUGCAAGUCGAACGGAAAGGCCCUGCUUUUGUGGGGUGCUCGAGUGGCGAACGGGUGAGUAACACGUGAGUAACCUGCCCUUGACUUUGGGAUAACUUCAGGAAACUGGGGCUAAUACCGGAUAGGAGCUCAUGCUGCAUGGUGGGGGUUGGAAAGUUUCGGCGGUUGGGGAUGGACUCGCGGCUUAUCAGCUUGUUGGUGGGGUAGUGGCUUACCAAGGCUUUGACGGGUAGCCGGCCUGAGAGGGUGACCGGCCACAUUAGGACUGAGAUACGGCCCAGACUCGUACGGGAGGCAGCAGUGGGGAAUAUUGCACAAUGGGCGGGAGCCUGAUGCAGCAACGCCGCGUGCGGGAUGACGGCCUUCGGGUUGUAAACCGCAUUCGCCUGUGACGAAGCGUGAGUGACGGUAAUGGGUAAAGAAGCACCGGCUAACUACGUG
RNAcentral lists this ribosomal RNA (468 nucleotides) under uncultured bacterium. RNAcentral describes it as "partial 16S ribosomal RNA". It matches the Rfam family "Bacterial small subunit ribosomal RNA", at positions 28 to 507 of the family's 1533-position model. The record is from RNAcentral.